This 253-nucleotide ribosomal RNA is filed under the name uncultured bacterium. RNAcentral's name for it is "partial 16S ribosomal RNA". It matches the Rfam family "Bacterial small subunit ribosomal RNA", at positions 524 to 776 of the family's 1533-position model. The record is from RNAcentral.
UACGGGGGGGGCAAGCGUUGUUCGGAAUUACUGGGCGUAAAGGGCGCGUAGGCGGCCAACUAAGUCAUACGUGAAAUCCCUCGGCUUAACCGGGGAACUGCGUCUGAUACUGGAUGGCUUGAGUUCGGGAGAGGGAUGCGGAAUUCCAGGUGUAGCGGUGAAAUGCGUAGAUAUCUGGAGGAACACCGGUGGCGAAGGCGGCAUCCUGGACCGGUAUUGACGCUGAGGCGCGAAAGCCAGGGGAGCAAACGGG